This 736-nucleotide ribosomal RNA is filed under the name Shigella flexneri. RNAcentral describes it as "bacterial SSU rRNA". It matches the Rfam family "Bacterial small subunit ribosomal RNA", at positions 732 to 1484 of the family's 1533-position model. The record is from RNAcentral. Lineage: Bacteria; Pseudomonadati; Pseudomonadota; Gammaproteobacteria; Enterobacterales; Enterobacteriaceae.
CCUGAGAAGAUACGCUCAGGUGAGAAAGCGUGGGCCAACCGGAUAGAUACCUGGUGUUCACGCUAAACAGUGUACUUGGGGGUUGUCCUUGGGUGUGGCUUCGGAGUUAACGGUUAAGUCGCCGCCUUGGGGGUCGGCCGCAAGGUAAAAUUAAAUGAAUGACGGGGGCCCGCCCCAGCGGUGGACAAUUGGUUUAUUCGGAUGCAACGCGAAGAACCUUACCGGGUCUUGACAUUCACGAAGUUUUCAGAGAUGAGAAUUGUGCUUUCGGGAACGGUGAGGACAGGUGCUGCAUGGCUGUCGUCAGCUCGUGUUGUGAAAUGUUGGGUUAAGUCCCGCAACGAGCGCAACCCUUAUCCUUUGUUGCCAGCGGUCCGGCCGGGAACUCAAAGGAGACUGCCAGUGAUAAACUGGAGGAAGGUGGGGAUGACGUCAAGUCAUCAUGGCCCUUACGACCAGGGCUACACACGUGCUACAAUGGCGCAUACAAAGAGAAGCGACCUCGCGAGAGCAAGCGGACCUCAUAAAGUGCGUCGUAGUCCGGAUUGGAGUCUGCAACUCGACUCCAUGAAGUCGGAAUCGCUAGUAAUCGUGGAUCAGAAUGCCACGGUGAAUACGUUCCCGGGCCUUGUACACACCGCCCGUCACACCAUGGGAGUGGGUUGCAAAAGAAGUAGGUAGCUUAACCUCGGAGGGCGCUACAAUUUUAUAGGACCUUCACUUUAAUAGGGGUAAA